UACGAAGGGUGCAAACGUUAUUCGGAAUCACUGGGCGUAAAGGGUGUGUAGACGGCUUGAUAAGUCAAUUGUUAAAUUUUCCAGCCCAACUGGAAGUCGGCAGUUGAAACUAUCUCGCUAGAGAAUGAAAGAGAGAAGCGGAAUUCUCGGAGUAGCGGUAAAAUGCGUAGAUCUCGAGAGGAACACCGGUGGCGAAGGCGGCUUCUUGGUUCAUUUCUGACGUUGAUACACGAAAGCGUGGGUAGCAAACAGG
Molecule: ribosomal RNA, 253 nt
Filed under: uncultured bacterium
Lineage: Bacteria
Description: partial 16S ribosomal RNA
Rfam family: Bacterial small subunit ribosomal RNA
Source: RNAcentral